ACUAUUUUGGCAGAAAUAUGUGAUAAAUUUAGAAUUUAUUUAUGUAAUAUUAAUUAUUACAGAUAGUAU
RNAcentral lists this transfer RNA (69 nucleotides) under Brillia bifasciata. RNAcentral's name for it is "tRNA-Leu". Lineage: Eukaryota; Metazoa; Arthropoda; Insecta; Diptera; Chironomidae. The record is from RNAcentral.